ACUUAGUGGCGGACGGGUGAGUAACACGUGAGUAACCUGCCUUGGAGUGGGGAAUAACAGCUGGAAACAGCUGCUAAUACCGCAUGAUGCAGUUGAGUCGCAUGGCUCUGACUGCCAAAGAUUUAUCGCUCUGAGAUGGACUCGCGUCUGAUUAGCUAGUUGGUGGGGCAACGGCCCACCAAGGCGACGAUCAGUAGCCGGACUGAGAGGUUGGCCGGCCACAUUGGGACUGAGACACGGCCCAGACUCCUACGGGAGGCAGCAGUGGGGAAUAUUGGGCAAUGGGCGCAAGCCUGACCCAGCAACGCCGCGUGGAGGAAGAAGGCCUUCGGGUCGUAAAGCUCUGUUGCGGGGGAAAAAAGGCAGCAUCAGGAAAUGGGUGCUGACUGAUGGUGCCCCGCCAGAAAGUCACGGCUAACUACGUGCCAGCAGCCGCGGUAAUACGUAGGUGGCGAGCGUUAUCCGGAAUGAUUGGGCGUAAAGGGUGCGCAGGCGGUCCUGCAAGUCUGGAGUGAAACGCAUGAGCUCAACUCAUGCAUGGCUUUGGAAACUGGAGGACUGGAGAGCAGGAGAGGGCGGUGGAACUCCAUGUGUAGCGGUAAAAUGCGUAGAUAUAUGGAAGAACACCAGUGGCGAAGGCGGCCGCCUGGCCUGUUGCUGACGCUGAGGCACGAAAGCGUGGGGAGCAAAAGGGAUUAGAUACCCUAGUAGUCCACGCCGUAAACGAUGAGGACCAAGUGUUGGGGGUGAAACCUCAGUGCUGAAGUUAACGCAGUGAGUCCUCCGCCUGGGGAGUAUGCACGCAAGUGUGAAACUCAAAGGAAUUGACGGGGGCCCGCACAAGCGGUGGAGUAUGUGGUUUAAUUCGAAGCAACGCGAAGAACCUUACCAGGCCUUGACAUGGGAUGCGAAGAUGCAGAGAUGCAUCGGAGGUCAACAUCCACACAGGUGGUGCAUGGUUGUCGUCAGCUCGUGUCGUGAGAUGUUGGGUCAAGUCCCGCAACGAGCGCAACCCUUGUGGCAUGUUGCUAACAGGAAAAGCUGAGGACUCAUGCCAGACUGCCGGUGACAAACCGGAGGAAGGCGGGGAUGACGUCAAAUCAUCAUGCCCCUUAUGGCCUGGGCUACACACGUACUACAAUGGCGGCUACAAAGAGCAGCGAGACAGGGAUGUCGAGCGAAUCUCAUAAAAGCCGUCCCAGUUCGGAUUGGAGGCUGCAACCCGACUCCAUGAAGUUGGAAUCGCUAGUAAUCGCGGAUCAGCAUGCCGCGGUGAAUACGUUCCCGGGCCUUGCACAAAGCGCCCGUCAA
Molecule: ribosomal RNA, 1311 nt
Filed under: uncultured bacterium
Lineage: Bacteria
Description: bacterial SSU rRNA
Rfam family: Bacterial small subunit ribosomal RNA
Source: RNAcentral